Molecule: long non-coding RNA, 785 nt
Filed under: Monodelphis domestica (gray short-tailed opossum)
Lineage: Eukaryota; Metazoa; Chordata; Mammalia; Didelphimorphia; Didelphidae
Description: lncRNA (ENSMODG00000038774.1)
Source: RNAcentral
GUUUCACUUCUAUGUAGACAGCACAGUGUUACCAUACUUUUUGCUCUCAAAAUAUAGUUCUUACUCUCCAGGAGCUCAGCCUAAUGGGGGAGACAACAUAAAAGCAACUCUGUUCAAGCCACUUAUGUAGCAGAUAAAUUGGAGAUAAUCAACAAAGAGAAGACACUAGAAUUACGAGGCAUCCGGAAAGGCUUCUUGUAGAAGCUACUAAUGUAAUAUGAGGAAAACUUCAGGGGAUGGAACAAAGUAACAGAUGUAAACAACAUUUUCUAAGAACUCUUCUUAUUGACACAGGACAUUGAAUUGGCCAACACAUUUGCCUCGUUAAAGUAUGACAUUUCUUCUCCUUUAUGGCAGAAACUGGAGGGAAAAUAACUAAAAGAAGCAGAGGUAUGAAGAGAGGUCUUCAACUAAGAAGGUGGAAGAAGAGCGUAAUAAAAAGAGGGUUUGAAAAGAAAAGAGAAUGUUUGAAAACGUCUGUGUCUGGCAUGUGCUACUUAGGGAAGAAUAGAAGAGUAAAAAGAUUGCUUUGCUUUAGAGAGGCUCUAGUUGAAAUUAGGCACAGAAAUUUGUAGUAGACCCAGGUCAAGACAGUUGCAUGACUUCCUCCAAAGGCAACCAAGAGAAAAUGAGCAAGAGUGGAAGAAACAGAUGAUGAGGGUAAUCCCGGGUUAACAUUUGGCAAAGCAUAAGUGCCAAUAGGGCAAGAGGCAAGAAAUUUGAAAGUUGAAGAUAGUAUGCCAUUGAACUGGGUCACUAAACCAAUGAAAUCACUAAAUAUUCCA